RNAcentral lists this ribosomal RNA (440 nucleotides) under uncultured bacterium. RNAcentral's name for it is "partial 16S ribosomal RNA". It matches the Rfam family "Bacterial small subunit ribosomal RNA", at positions 338 to 795 of the family's 1533-position model. The record is from RNAcentral.
CCUACGGGGGGCAGCAGUGGGGGAUAUUGCACAAUGGGGGAAACCCUGAUGCAGCGACGCCGCGUGGGUGAAGAAGCGCCUCGGCGCGUAAAGCCCUGUCAGCAGGGAAGAAAAUGACGGUAACUGAAGAAGAAGCCGCGGCUAACUACGUGCCAGCAGCCGCGGUAAUACGUAGGGGGCAAGCGUUAACCGGAUUUACUGGGUGUAAAGGGGGCGCAGACGGCGAUGCAAGCCAGGAGUUAAAGCCCGGGGCCCAACCCCGGGACUGCUCGUGGAACUGCGUGGCUAGAGUGCAGGAGGGGCAGGCGGAAGUCCGGGUGUAGCGGUGAAAUGCGUAGAUAUCAGGAGGAACACCGGUGGCGAAGGCGGCCUGCUGGACUGCAACUGACGUUGAGGCCCGAAAGCGUGGGGAGCAAACAGGAUUAGAUACCCGGGUAGUC